Molecule: small nuclear RNA, 156 nt
Filed under: Echinops telfairi (small Madagascar hedgehog)
Lineage: Eukaryota; Metazoa; Chordata; Mammalia; Afrosoricida; Tenrecidae
Description: U4 spliceosomal RNA (ENSETEG00000024813.1)
Rfam family: U4 spliceosomal RNA
About the family: U4 small nuclear RNA (U4 snRNA) is a component of the major U2-dependent spliceosome. The structure of U4 snRNA from yeast and human has been reported.
Source: RNAcentral
AGCUUUGCUCAGUGGCAAUAUCGUAGCCAAUGAGGUUUACCCGAGGCACAAUUAUUGCUAAUUGGAAGGAAAAAAAGGGGGGGGGGGAAUGUUUUUUUCUCAACACCAAAAAUCUCUCAACAUACCUCAUUAAAUUUUUUAAAAAUCAACUAAGAU